CUGCCCUACGGGAGGCAGCAGUGGGGAAUUUUGGACAAUGGGCGCAAGCCUGAUCCAGCUAUUCCGCGUGUGGGAUGAAGGCCAUCGGGUUGUAAACCUCUUUUGUAGAGAACGAAAAGACACCUUCGAAUAAAGGGUGUUGCUGCCGGUACUCUAAGAAUAAGCACCGGCUAACUACGUGCCAGCAGCCGCGGUAAUACGUAGGGUGCGAGCGUUAAUCGGAAUUACUGGGCGUAAAGGGUGCGCAGGCGGUGGAGUAAGACAGAUGUGAAAUCCUCGAGCUUAACUCGGGACUGGCA
RNAcentral lists this ribosomal RNA (299 nucleotides) under uncultured bacterium. RNAcentral's name for it is "partial 16S ribosomal RNA". It matches the Rfam family "Bacterial small subunit ribosomal RNA", at positions 335 to 625 of the family's 1533-position model. The record is from RNAcentral.